GUCAUUAUAUAUAGUUCUUUUCAUUCUAUGAGUUUUAGAAAUAGAUUCAAAUUAACAUACAAACGAAGGCAUGCACAUAGGUUGAAAUGACAGCCUCUGAAAGAACUCCAGGCAAAGAACAAAUAGCUUAUUGAAAAAAAUAAAGAAACAAUGAGUCGAUGACAAAAUAAUUAUCAUAACAGCUAUAUAAAUACAACAAACAAUUAUGACCAAGUACAUAUGAUUUUUAUCAACAACAACUGCACGAAUUAUGUACAGCGAUUUACAACAUUCAAGGUGAAUUUUCCAAACUCAACCGGCUGCACAGCACAACUAUAACUUCUAACUUCUUAGCCUGGCAUCUAAAAAGAAUUAAAUAAACCUGAAUCAGUGUCACUCUUUCUUCUUUCUUUGCUUUUAUUUUUCUAUCAGAAGAAUCAUAUAAAACUCCUAAUACCCCGCUCCCACCUUCAACGUUACUAUUUGGCAUGAUUGAUUUCUGCUUAUCUGCAAGUUCAAAAUCAAGGACCUCUCCUGUUAAUCUCUCCAUCUUUACUGCUCUUGGCAAAAACACUUCGUAGCCUAUAUGAUUGUUCUUCUAUCAGUUUAUAGGUGGAAGGAUAAUGCCAUGGCACAAAGGAAAACUGGUCACUGUAUUCCUCCACUCCUUCAACUAGUAGCUGCCAAAUUAAGGCUCCUGCACCAGCCUGCCUCUUUUUUGCUGAAUCAUAAAUUCUAUCAUACACCAUUUUCAAGAAAACAUCUGCAUCAGUGUCAUAUACUCCCUUCUUAUUUACAUGCCGUGUAGAGCCCACUUCUGUUAAAAGAACGGGUUUCCUCAGCACAAAGUCCCCAUCGCUUAUAUGAGAGUCCACCCAAAGCGAAAGAAAAUUUGCUUUUGCUUUCAAAUCAGAACUUGGGAUCCAGCUAUCUGGGUAAGUGUGAACUGAAGCAAAAUCUAUGUUUUCGACUGCCGAAUUCUGUAUAAAGUCCGAUCCAAGUAAGGCUGCCCAUUUCCCAGGAUUCACUUCUGUUUUGUUACUUGUGGUCAGGCCAUAAAAUCCCUCUACUCCAACAGUCACUAGGUGUUUUUUGUCCAAACUUUUGAUAAAAGCAGCCAUCUCAGUUAUCCAUGCCUGAAGAAAAGGAGCUGAUGAACUAGAUGCACAACGAGGUUCAUUCAUGAGCUCCCAAGCAAAAAUUGCUGGUUCAUCAGAAUAUCUAACUCCACUCAUAGAGUUCUUUCUCAUCAAAAUAGCCUUGACAUAGGCCUUAUAGUAAUCUUUAAUGGUUGGGUUUGAAAAGAAUGAAUCAUCUGAUGAAGAGACAUUAAUCCCAGCUUCUUGUGCCCACCUCACGUACUGAUCUUUUCCACCAAACGCGUUCAAAUUAUUCACUAGACUGAGGAUUAACCUUAUGCCAUGCUUCCUUGCCUCAACUAUCACAAAGUCUAACCCCUGAAAGGCCCUCUCGUUGAAGACACCAGGAGAGAGCUGCAAACCAUUAGGACCAUGGCCAUCACUGAAAGCCCAAGUCCUGCAGACAGUCAACCCCAUUUGGGAUCCUCUCUUAAGCAUCUUGGAUACCUUGGAUCUUGAAGAGGUCCACACACUUUCUUCCAUUAACCAAUAGGAGUUCCAUCCAUUAAUAUACAGCGGCGAAUAUAGAUCCUGAUCACCACCACCAUUGAUGAUGAAGAAUUGUGUGGAAUUGGUAGAGACAAAACCCAUCUUGGGUUGCCAUAGGAGGACUGGGAAGCUGAGAUUGUUAUUGAAGUUCAAGUAAAGAAGAGAGACUAACAAGAAUAUGCCUAACAGAGGAUAGAGCUUUUUCUCUCUCCAUUGGGAGUCCAUUCCUUCAUUUCUUGGGGGAGGAAAGCUCGCG
RNAcentral lists this unclassified non-coding RNA (1863 nucleotides) under Hevea brasiliensis (rubber tree). The record is from RNAcentral. Lineage: Eukaryota; Viridiplantae; Streptophyta; Magnoliopsida; Malpighiales; Euphorbiaceae.